UCGAGUGCAGUUGCAAAUAUCAUAAUGAAGCGCAUAGAAAUAAAAAUUGUUUUGAUACUCAUGGUAUACGAAUUCUCUGCUAUCACAGCUAUUGGAUCUGAGACUUGCCAAUUGAACCGAGAUAUGGAAAACCAGUGCCGUACUUAUUCUUACACCGUAGUCAAACCUAUGCUAGAUUAUGUCCGUCAGGUUGAAGAGGAAUUACAACAAAGCAAAGAAAAGGAUAGAAUCAUUGCAGACUUAAGAAAAAGGUUAAUUGAACAGAAAAACAACGAUGAUUUGGUAAAGGAAUUACGAUCUCAACUAGAGUUUCAAAAGAUAAUUCAUACCAAUUGGAAAUUGAUUGAUAAUUAUGGAAAAUGCAAGAAUGAAUUAGCUGAGAAAUCAAUCAAGUUAGUAUUAAAAGAGUUUCAAGUUGAAAAACUUAAUUCUACACUUUCUGAAAAGGAACAAGAAAUUGCAGACAUUUAUAUUCGCAACAAGAAACAGUUAGACCAUCAGUUAGAGGGUUAUAACAAAAAAAUAUUCGAAAAAGACAACAAACUGAAAUUGUGUCAAGCUAAGGAAUCCAAAUCAAGACACUCUGAGGAUUGUGUUAAAUGUAAAGAGGAAAUAGGAAUUUGUGAGAAUCGAGUAAAGACAGAGAUCGAAACUUGUUGGCAGCAUCAUAGAACAAUUGUGACGCAAUUGGAGGCGACACAAACGAAAUUACAGAUAAAAGAAAAAGAACAUGAAUUAUGUCAAACACAACUUAGUUGGAUGUUGUAAAAUUCUGUCAAAUUUUCUAACUGGUUGUAUUCCACUACAAAAUGUCGAAAAUGCAGUUGAUCAUCAAAUUAAAGUUUCGGGUUUUGCUUCCUUCAAUGCUUUAUGCGAUAGCGAGUUAGCAAAACCUGGAUGGAUAGUUAUAGAACAGCGUAUUGGUGAAAAUAUGAUUAAUGGAAAUUUGUCCUCGUAUCGCGAUGGAUUCAGUUUCGUAAAAAGUAAUUUUUUCCUUGGGUUAGAAAAGCUCUAUCACCUGACGAGAUCGCAACGGUAUGAGCUCUAUGUUCAUUUGGUUUUAUCAGACGAUCGUAUUGAAUAUGCUCGGUACGACAACUUUAAAGUAGAUAAAAAUAAAUAUAGAAAUAAUCGCUAUGAAGUAACAUUGGGUUAUUGCAACGGAACUAAAGAUUUGCUAGACAUACCCAUUAUUUAUUAUAGUGAAGAACCAUAUAUGAUUAAAAAUAUCAAGCUUAUCUUCGAUCAUGGAGUCGGCUGGUGGUCCUACAAAACUUACCCAAGGAAUACAAAUCUAAGAGUCCGAUAUCAAAUACCGACUUGCUACCCCACUAUUAAACUCGCUAAUAUGCUCAUACGUCCCUUGGAUUAAAGGAGGAAGUAAAUAUACAAGUACAUAAGUUAAAAAUGGAAAAUAUAUUUUAUAUUAUUCAAGUCAAGUACAACAAGUACGAAAUCUACCCGGUAGACAUUUUAAAUAAAAGCAAAACAUCAAGGCUUUAUUCUUAAAAUAUACCGAAAUAAUAUACCACAAAAUACUAAAAAUAUGACAGGUGGUAUAUUAAUAUAGUACUAAUAUCAAACUAUACCAUUGAGUGCAAAAUUUACCAGAUUGUCAACCAAAGAAACUAAUACCUCUAGUAAGUGGGCGAAUUUUCCUAUAAAAAUAUUUCUUCAAUAAUUUCGACAAUUUUUGUCUGAUCACAACCAAAUUUCGGGAAUCAGAAAUACUGCAGUUAUUAUUGAAUAUACCAAAUUAAGCUUGUUAUUCAUGGGCGGAUGUGGGAUUGGCAAAAAUUUGAAACAAAUC
Drosophila albomicans is the source of this 1810-nucleotide long non-coding RNA. RefSeq lists it as uncharacterized. The transcript has 3 exons. Lineage: Eukaryota; Metazoa; Arthropoda; Insecta; Diptera; Drosophilidae. The record is from RefSeq and is a predicted model, not a curated record.